UCCCGUAGCUCGGGAAGAGGCUCCUUCUAUCAACACCCCAACUUCCAUGAGGCAAAGAACAUCACAUCCCGCGGUCGACCAUGGUAUUCAAGGGAUUCAGAGGUGGUUCCGGUGGCAGACGACGCUACAGUAAGCUAGAUUCUUCCACAUGUUUCUUCUCCUGUUUGUGUAGGGGGCAGACUCCGUCUUUUUUCCCCAGCAUGGGUGUCUAUCACAUUGGACACAUGGGUUCAGG
This is a non-coding RNA of Pelobates cultripes (western spadefoot toad), 235 nucleotides long. The record is from the annotation of a GenBank genome assembly. Lineage: Eukaryota; Metazoa; Chordata; Amphibia; Anura; Pelobatidae.